RNAcentral lists this ribosomal RNA (700 nucleotides) under Klebsiella oxytoca. RNAcentral describes it as "bacterial SSU rRNA". It matches the Rfam family "Bacterial small subunit ribosomal RNA", at positions 35 to 723 of the family's 1533-position model. The record is from RNAcentral. Lineage: Bacteria; Pseudomonadati; Pseudomonadota; Gammaproteobacteria; Enterobacterales; Enterobacteriaceae.
GUAUCUGGCGCGGCCUUACCAUGCAGUCCGAACGGUAGCACAGAAGAAGCUUGGCUCUCGGGUGACGAGUGGCGGACGGGUGAGUAAUGUCUGGGAAACUGCCUGAUGGAGGGGGAUAACUACUGGAAACGGUAGCUAAUACCGCAUAACGUCGCAAGACCAAAGAGGGGGACCUUCGGGCCUCUUGCCAUCAGAUGUGCCCAGAUGGGAUUAGCUAGUAGGUGGGGUAACGGCUCACCUAGGCGACGAUCCCUAGCUGGUCUGAGAGGAUGACCAGCCACACUGGAACUGAGACACGGUCCAGACUCCUACGGGAGGCAGCAGUGGGGAAUAUUGCACAAUGGGCGCAAGCCUGAUGCAGCCAUGCCGCGUGUAUGAAGAAGGCCUUCGGGUUGUAAAGUACUUUCAGCGGGGAGGAAGGCGAUGAGGUUAAUAACCUUGUCGAUUGACGUUACCCGCAGAAGAAGCACCGGCUAACUCCGUGCCAGCAGCCGCGGUAAUACGGAGGGUGCAAGCGUUAAUCGGAAUUACUGGGCGUAAAGCGCACGCAGGCGGUCUGUCAAGUCGGAUGUGAAAUCCCCGGGCUCAACCUGGGAACUGCAUUCGAAACUGGCAGGCUAGAGUCUUGUAGAGGGGGGUAGAAUUCCCGGUGUGGCGGUGAAACGCGUACAAAUCUGUAGGAAGACCGGAGUCGCAAGGG